This 731-nucleotide ribosomal RNA is filed under the name uncultured bacterium. RNAcentral's name for it is "bacterial SSU rRNA". It matches the Rfam family "Bacterial small subunit ribosomal RNA", at positions 771 to 1501 of the family's 1533-position model. The record is from RNAcentral.
AACAGGAUUAGAUACCCUGGUAGUCCACGCUGUAAACGAUGUCGACUUGGAGGUUGUGCCCUUGAGGCGUGGCUUCCGGAGCUAACGCGUCAAGUCGACCGCCUGGGGAGUACGGCCGCAAGGUUAAAACUCAAAUGAAUUGACGGGGGCCCGCACAAGCGGUGGAGCAUGUGGUUUAAUUCGAUGCAACGCGAAGAGCCUUACCUACUCUUGACAUCCAGAGAAUUUGCUAGAGAUAGCUUAGUGCCUUCGGGAACUCUGAGACAGGUGCUGCAUGGCUGUCGUCAGCUCGUGUUGUGAAAUGUUGGGUUAAGUCCCGCAACGAGCGCAACCCUUAUCCUUUGUUGCCAGCACGUAAUGGUGGGAACUCAAAGGAGACUGCCGGUGAUAAACCGGAGGAAGGUGGGGAUGACGUCAAGUCAUCAUGGCCCUUACGAGUAGGGCUACACACGUGCUACAAUGGCAUAUACAAAGAGAAGCGAACUCGCGAGAGCAAGCGGACCUCAUAAAGUAUGUCGUAGUCCGGAUUGGAGUCUGCAACUCGACUCCAUGAAGUCGGAAUCGCUAGUAAUCGUAGAUCAGAAUGCUACGGUGAAUACGUUCCCGGGCCUUGUACACACCGCCCGUCACACCAUGGGAGUGGGUUGCAAAAGAAGUAGGUAGCUUAACCUUCGGGAGGGCGCUUACCACUUUGUGAUUCAUGACUGGGGUGAAGUCGUAACAAGGUAACC